RNAcentral lists this transfer RNA (58 nucleotides) under Diaphorina citri (Asian citrus psyllid). It matches the Rfam family "tRNA", at positions 8 to 63 of the family's 71-position model. From Rfam's summary of the family: Transfer RNA (tRNA) molecules are approximately 80 nucleotides in length. Their secondary structure includes four short double-helical elements and three loops (D, anti-codon, and T loops). The record is from Rfam by way of RNAcentral. Lineage: Eukaryota; Metazoa; Arthropoda; Insecta; Hemiptera; Psyllidae.
UAGCAUAGUUGGUAGCGCGUCUGCCUUGUAAGCGCUAGGCCGCGGGUUCGAUUCCCGC